Molecule: unclassified non-coding RNA, 214 nt
Filed under: uncultured Orbiliales
Lineage: Eukaryota; Fungi; Ascomycota; Orbiliomycetes; Orbiliales
Description: sequence contains ITS1
Source: RNAcentral
AAUGAAUCUACCCUCACGGGUAACCAAUACACAAAGGGCCAGCGAGAGCUGGUCCAAUGUGGCCACCAUUUGUUGAAACACCUUCUUUUGCUUUGGCAGCACCCGACGCCUAACCGCGGAGGGGUAAGGCUGCCGAAAGCCUAUAACAAAACCAGUUGAUGAAAUGUCAUGCUGUCUGAUACUACUUAGUAUUUGAGAAAUCAAAUCUAUAUUA